GAUGAACGCUGGCGGCGUGCCUAAUACAUGCAAGUCGAGCGAACAGAUAAGGAGCUUGCUCCUUUGAAGUUAGCGGCGGACGGGUGAGUAACACGUGGGUAACCUACCUAUAAGACUGGGAUAACUUCGGGAAACCGGAGCUAAUACCGGAUAACAUUUAGAACCGCAUGGUUCUAAAGUGAAAGAUGGUUUUGCUAUCACUUAUAGAUGGACCCGCGCCGUAUUAGCUAGUUGGUAAGGUAACGGCUUACCAAGGCGACGAUACGUAGCCGACCUGAGAGGGUGAUCGGCCACACUGGAACUGAGACACGGUCCAGACUCCUACGGGAGGCAGCAGUAGGGAAUCUUCCGCAAUGGGCGAAAGCCUGACGGAGCAACGCCGCGUGAGUGAUGAAGGGUUUCGGCUCGUAAAACUCUGUUAUUAGGGAAGAACAAAUGUGUAAGUAACUGUGCACAUCUUGACGGUACCUAAUCAGAAAGCACGGCUAACUACGUGCCAGCAGCCGCGGGUAUACGUAAGGUGCAAGCGGUAUCGGGAAUUAUUGGGCGUAAAGCGCGCGUAAGCGGUUUCUUAAGUCUGAUGUGAAAGCCCACGGCUCAACCGUGGAGGGUCAUUGGAAACUGGGAAACUUGAGUGCAGAAGAGGAAAGUGGAAUUCCAUGUGUAGCGGUGAAAUGCGCAGAGAUAUGGAGGAACACCAGUGGCGAAGGCGACUUUCUGGUCUGUAACUGACGCUGAUGUGCGAAAGCGUGGGGAUCAAACAGGAUUAGAUACCCUGGUAGUCCACGCCGUAAACGAUGAGUGCUAAGUGUUAGGGGGUUUCCGCCCCUUAGUGCUGCAGCUAACGCAUUAAGCACUCCGCCUGGGGAGUACGACCGCAAGGUUGAAACUCAAAGGAAUUGACGGGGACCCGCACAAGCGGUGGAGCAUGUGGUUUAAUUCGAAGCAACGCGAAGAACCUUACCAAAUCUUGACAUCCUUUGAAAACUCUAGAGAUAGAGCCUUCCCCUUCGGGGGACAAAGUGACAGGUGGUGCAUGGUUGUCGUCAGCUCGUGUCGUGAGAUGUUGGGUUAAGUCCCGCAACGAGCGCAACCCUUAAGCUUAGUUGCCAUCAUUAAGUUGGGCACUCUAGGUUGACUGCCGGUGACAAACCGGAGGAAGGUGGGGAUGACGUCAAAUCAUCAUGCCCCUUAUGAUUUGGGCUACACACGUGCUACAAUGGACAAUACAAAGGGCAGCUAAACCGCGAGGUCAUGCAAAUCCCAUAAAGUUGUUCUCAGUUCGGAUUGUAGUCUGCAACUCGACUACAUGAAGCUGGAAUCGCUAGUAAUCGUAGAUCAGCAUGCUACGGUGAAUACGUUCCCGGGUCU
RNAcentral lists this ribosomal RNA (1371 nucleotides) under uncultured bacterium. RNAcentral's name for it is "bacterial SSU rRNA". It matches the Rfam family "Bacterial small subunit ribosomal RNA", at positions 28 to 1381 of the family's 1533-position model. The record is from RNAcentral.